AGACGUGCUGUCACUGACGCAAGAGCAGGGAGCAUUGUCCCUUGUGAAAUCGUCGAUAGCGUCUGCAGGUAGUGGAUAUACACAGUGCUCCUGUCGUGGCUUUUCACCAGCCGGGCAUGCGCUAAUGGCUAGGCCAUAAAGCGAGGAGGCGGCUGGCUGACACCUAGACUUUGUGACGCUUGGGGCCAUACUACGGAGUAGUUCCCCAUUCAAUUACCCAAACAACGAUGUGCAAUGACCAUUUUGAUUAACUCUCUUUACUGAUCAAAGAAAAUAAAGUCUGGAACUGAGAAUGGACGAG
Molecule: small RNA, 301 nt
Filed under: Histoplasma capsulatum
Lineage: Eukaryota; Fungi; Ascomycota; Eurotiomycetes; Onygenales; Ajellomycetaceae
Also listed under: 1 other name
Description: hypothetical RNA
Source: RNAcentral